This 880-nucleotide ribosomal RNA is filed under the name Ophiobolus disseminans. Its description in RNAcentral is "eukaryotic LSU rRNA". It matches the Rfam family "Eukaryotic large subunit ribosomal RNA", at positions 39 to 938 of the family's 3401-position model. Lineage: Eukaryota; Fungi; Ascomycota; Dothideomycetes; Pleosporales; Phaeosphaeriaceae. The record is from RNAcentral.
CAUAUCAAUAAGCGGAGGAAAAGAAACCAACAGGGAUUGCCCUAGUAACGGCGAGUGAAGCGGCAACAGCUCAAAUUUGAAAUCUGGCUCUUUUAGAGUCCGAGUUGUAAUUUGCAGAGGGCGCUUUGGCGUUGGCAGCGGUCCAAGUUCUUUGGAACAGGACGUCACAGAGGGUGAGAAUCCCGUACGUGGUCGCUAUCCUUCGCCGUGUAAAGCCCCUUCGACGAGUCGAGUUGUUUGGGAAUGCAGCUCUAAAUGGGAGGUAAAUUUCUUCUAAAGCUAAAUACUGGCCAGAGACCGAUAGCGCACAAGUAGAGUGAUCGAAAGAUGAAAAGCACUUUGGAAAGAGAGUCAAAUAGCACGUGAAAUUGUUGAAAGGGAAGCGCUUGCAGCCAGACUUGCCUGUAGUUGCUUAUCUGGACUUUUGUCCAGUGCACUCUUCUAUAGGCAGGCCAGCAUCAGUUUGGGCGGUUAGAUAAAGGUCUCUGUCAUGUACCUCUCUUCGGGGAGGCCUUAUAGGGGAGACGACAUGUAACCAGCCUGGACUGAGGUCCGCGCAUCUGCUAGGAUGCUGGCGUAAUGGCUGUAAGCGGCCCGUCUUGAAACACGGACCAAGGAGUCUAACAUCUAUGCGAGUGUUUGGGUGUCAAGCCCAGACGCGUAAUGAAAGUGAACGGAGGUAGGAACCCUUUGGGUGCACUAUCGACCGAUCCUGAUGUCUUCGGAAGGAUUUGAGUAAGAGCAUGGCUGUUGGGACCCGAAAGAUGGUGAACUAUGCUUGAAUAGGGUGAAGCCAGAGGAAACUCUGGUGGAGGCUCGCAGCGGUUCUGACGUGCAAAUCGAUCGUCAAAUUUGGGCAUAGGGGCGAAAGACUAAUCGA